RNAcentral lists this unclassified non-coding RNA (297 nucleotides) under Hevea brasiliensis (rubber tree). Lineage: Eukaryota; Viridiplantae; Streptophyta; Magnoliopsida; Malpighiales; Euphorbiaceae. The record is from RNAcentral.
GGGCUUCUAAGCAGCCCCAUUUCAUACCCACUUUGUCUAUAUUCGAAAAGAUUCUAAGGAAGCUUGGAAAUAUGGGAUGUUUUGAUUUAAUGAAGGGGGUAUUGGAUGAUAUGAAGAGAUUGAAGAUUGAAUUAGUUGAAGGUACUUUCUUUAUCUUUAUUGAAAGUUAUGCGAAAUUUGAGUUGUAUAAUGAAGCUAUUAAGGUUCUUGAUAUGAUGUAGAAUGAGUUUUGUGUAAUGGCUGGUACUUUUAAUUAUAAUUAGUUGUUGAAUGUUCUUGUUGAUGGGAAUAAGUUUA